CCUACGGGUGGCUGCAGUAGGGAAUCUUCCGCAAUGGACGAAAGUCUGACGGAGCAACGCCGCGUGAGCGAAGAAGGUCUUCGGAUCGUAAAGCUCUGUUGUUAGGGAAGAACAAGUACCGUUCGAAUAGGGCGGUACCGUGACGGUACCUAACCAGAAAGCCACGGCUAACUACGUGCCAGCAGCCGCGGUAAUACGUAGGUGGCAAGCGUUGUCCGGAAUUAUUGGGCGUAAAGCGCGCGCAGGCGGCUUCUUAAGUCUGAUGUGAAAGCCCGCGGCUUAACCGCGGAGGGUCAUUGGAAACUGGGGAGCUUGAGUGCAGAAGAGGGGAGUGGAAUUCCACGUGUAGCGGUGAAAUGCGUAGAGAUGUGGAGGAACACCAGUGGCGAAGGCGGCUCUCUGGUCUGUAACUGACGCUGAGGCGCGAAAGCGUGGGGAGCAAACAGGAUUAGAUACCCGGGUAGUC
RNAcentral lists this ribosomal RNA (466 nucleotides) under uncultured bacterium. RNAcentral describes it as "bacterial SSU rRNA". It matches the Rfam family "Bacterial small subunit ribosomal RNA", at positions 338 to 795 of the family's 1533-position model. The record is from RNAcentral.